UGCGAAUGCUGACAUGAGUAACGAUAAUGUGGGUGAAAAGCCCACACGCCGGAAGUCCCAGGUUUCCUGCACGACGUUAAUCGGAGCAGGGUGAGUCGGCCCCUAAGGCGAGGCUGAAGAGCGUAGUCGAUGGGAACCAGGUUAAUAUUCCUGGACUUUUUAUAAGUGGUGAAGUGGGGACGAAGAAGGCUAGGUGAGCCAGGCGUUGGUUGUCCUGGUACUUGCAUGUAGGGGGGAAGACUUGGCAAAUCCGGUUUUCCGAUACUCUGAGGUGCGAAGUGGUUCUGACCUUUUGGUACAGAGAAGUCAUUGAUGCCCGGCUUCCAGGAAAAGCUGCUAGCCAUAACUUAUAGAGAACCGUACCGCAAACCGACACAGGUGGACAGGUAGAGAAUACUAAGGCGCUUGAGAGAACUCGGGUGAAGGAACUAGGCAAAAUGGUACCGUAACUUCGGGAGAAGGUACGCCCUUUCUGGUGAUGGGAUUUACUUUCAGAGCUGGAGAGGGCCGCAGAGACCAGGUGGCUGCGACUGUUUAUUAAAAACACAGCACUCUGCAAAUUCGUAAGAAGACGUAUAGGGUGUGACGCCUGCCCGGUGCCGGAAGGUUAAUUGAUGGGGUUAUCUUCGGAGAAGCUCUUGAUCGAAGCCCCGGUAAACGGCGGCCGUAACUAUAACGGUCCUAAGGUAGCGAAAUUCCUUGUCGGGUAAGUUCCGACCUGCACGAAUGGCGUAACGAUGGCCACACUGUCUCCACCCGAGACUCAGUGAAAUUGAAAUCGCUGUGAAGAUGCAGUGUACCCGCGGCUAGACGGAAAGACCCCGUGAACCUUUACUAUAGUUUUGCACUGGACUUUGAUGAUGACUGUGUAGGAUAGGUGGGAGGCUGUGAAGUGAGGACGCUAGUUCUCAUGGAGCCGCCCUUGAAAUACCACCCUGUUGUUAUUGAGGUUCUAACUUGGUCCAGUAAUCCUGGAUGAGGACAGUGUAUGAUGGGUAGUUUGACUGGGGCGGUCUCCUCCCAAAGAGUAACGGAGGAGCACAAAGGUACCCUCGGUACGGUCGGACAUCGUACCAAGAGUGUAAAGGCAAAAGGGUGCUUGACUGCGAGAGUGACGGCUCGAGCAGGAACGAAAGUUGGUCUUAGUGAUCCGGUGGUUCUGAAUGGAAGGGCCAUCGCUCAACGGAUAAAAGGUACUCCGGGGAUAACAGGCUGAUACCGCCCAAGAGUUCAUAUCGACGGCGGUGUUUGGCACCUCGAUGUCGGCUCAUCACAUCCUGGGGCUGAAGCAGGUCCCAAGGGUAUGGCUGUUCGCCAUUUAAAGUGGUACGCGAGCUGGGUUUAGAACGUCGUGAGACAGUUCGGUCCCUAUCUGCCGUGGGCGUAGGAAAAUUGAGAGGAGCUGCUCCUAGUACGAGAGGACCGGAGUGGACGAACCUCUGGUGCACCGGUUGUCACGCCAGUGGCAUGGCCGGGUAGCUAAGUUCGGACGGGAUAACCGCUGAAAGCAUCUAAGCGGGAAGCCUCCCUCAAGAUGAGUUUUCCCAUGAAGCCCGUUGAAGACUACGACGUUGAUAGGCAAGGUGUGGAAGCGCAGUAAUGCGUGAAGCUAACUUGUACUAAUUGGCUGAUUGUCUUGACCAUAUAAUCUGAG
RNAcentral lists this ribosomal RNA (1654 nucleotides) under Legionella pneumophila. RNAcentral describes it as "partial 23S ribosomal RNA". It matches the Rfam family "Bacterial large subunit ribosomal RNA", at positions 1289 to 2925 of the family's 2925-position model. The record is from RNAcentral. Lineage: Bacteria; Pseudomonadati; Pseudomonadota; Gammaproteobacteria; Legionellales; Legionellaceae.